GCCUCGUCGAGUUUAAGUUGGGGCAAUAACCCUAGCUAUAUAUAGUGGAGAGACAAGUGAAGCACAGCCGACCAUCCGAGUUCGGCGAUUUCACUAUGAGAGCCAAGUGGAAGAAGAAGCGCAUGAGGAGAUUGAAGAGGAAGCGCAGAAAGAUGAGACAGAGAUCUAAGUAGUCUGUUGUCAUACUUAUCCAUAAUUCUCUGUUAUUGCUUUUAUUUAGUUUCUUGGAACCUUUUAUGUUUUGUGUUGUUACAUUUAAGUUUGAACAAUCUUCUAUAGAUCUUGUUUUGCUUAA
Molecule: long non-coding RNA, 295 nt
Organism: Raphanus sativus (radish)
Lineage: Eukaryota; Viridiplantae; Streptophyta; Magnoliopsida; Brassicales; Brassicaceae
Exons: 2
Source: RefSeq, a predicted model, not a curated record